CUCCCUGUGGCUCAGUUGGUAGAGCAUGGUGAUUGCAACGCCAGGGUUGUGGGUUCGAUUCCCACGGGGGGC
This is a non-coding RNA of Salmo salar (Atlantic salmon), 72 nucleotides long. NCBI's taxonomy places the organism in Eukaryota, Metazoa, Chordata, Actinopteri, Salmoniformes, Salmonidae. The record is from Rfam.